CCUACGGGUGGCAGCAGUAGGGAAUCUUCCACAAUGGGCGAAAGCCUGAUGGAGCAACGCCGCGUGGGUGAAGAAGGUCUUCGGAUCGUAAAACCCUGUUGUUAGGGAAGAAAGUGCGUGUAAGUAACUGUUCACGUCUCGACGGUACCUAACCAGAAAGCCACGGCUAACUACGUGCCAGCAGCCGCGGUAAUACGUAGGUGGCAAGCGUUAUCCGGAUUUAUUGGGCGUAAAGGGACCGCAGGCGGUUUUUUAAGUCUGAUGUGAAAGCCCACGGCUUAACCGGAGUAGUGCAUUGGAAACUGGGAGACUUGAGUGCAGAAGAGGAGUGUGGAAUUCCAUGUGUAGCGGUGAAAUGCGUAGAUAUAUGGAAGAACACCAGUGGCGAAGGCGGCUCUCUGGUCUGUAACUGACGCUGAGGUGCGAAAGCGUGGGUAGCAAACAGGAUUAGAUACCCGAGUAGUC
RNAcentral lists this ribosomal RNA (465 nucleotides) under uncultured bacterium. Its description in RNAcentral is "partial 16S ribosomal RNA". It matches the Rfam family "Bacterial small subunit ribosomal RNA", at positions 338 to 795 of the family's 1533-position model. The record is from RNAcentral.